UGCGGCCGGCCCCGCGCGCAUC
RNAcentral lists this microRNA (22 nucleotides) under Sus scrofa (pig). RNAcentral's name for it is "ssc-mir132". The record is from RNAcentral. Lineage: Eukaryota; Metazoa; Chordata; Mammalia; Artiodactyla; Suidae.